AAGUGUGCGGUGGUGGUGUGUAUUUCAUCAAAGGGUAGAUGUUCAAAUGGUUUUAUAUGCCUCUUCAAUAGUUACCAAUAGCCGAUUCUAUAGGGAUAGGAAAUGUGUACCCGGAUUUCCUAGAGUGACCAAUGCUUCUAACGCAUAUGAUCAUUGUGAGCAACAAGGAAAUUGUAAACCCAGGUUUGUUAUCAAAUUAGACGUGAACUUAUCGACAGAUGCCUUAUCCCCCGUAAAAAACCACUUGGUCAAACGUCAAAACCUUAAAGAAACAAUAAUCCCAAAAUUAUUUUUUAGCAUGGGAUAAGAGAUGACGGGUAGAUGCGCAAAUAGUUUCAUCUUUACUGAGUUACCAGCUGAC
Gordionus sp. m RMFG-2023 is the source of this 361-nucleotide long non-coding RNA. RefSeq lists it as uncharacterized. The record is from RefSeq and is a predicted model, not a curated record. The transcript has 3 exons. Lineage: Eukaryota; Metazoa; Nematomorpha; Gordioida; Chordodea; Parachordodidae.